AAAUUUGAAAUCUAACAUUGAAUUCGAAAAAUCGACUGUCCUUAGCGCAAGCGGUAAAAUUUGAAAUCUAAAAUUUUGUAGAAAUAUAUUUGAUGUUAUUGAAUGGGUAAGACUAAAAUUUUUUUUUUUUUAGAGAGAUAGAUAGUAUGCUGCCCGCUUUGUUUAUUUUAUUUAAUAGUAACUUAUUAAAAAUAUAAAUCAACUAGAAUUCGAACUCAAGAUCUCAGGUAUCAACUAUCAAAUUUUUUACCACUUACGCUAGGGACGGUCGGUUAUUAAGAUUUUUUUCUAGAUUGAUAGAUAACAUGCUACCUGUUUUGUUCAUUUUAUUUAGAAGUAACUUAGGUAAAAUUAUAAAUCAAUUAAAAUUAAAAUUCAAAAUCUUAGAUAUCAAACAUCAAAUUCUUUACAACUUACGCUAGGGAUAGUCAAUUACUAAGAUUUAUACUCAACCUGCUAUUUCCGGCUGUACAAGGUCGGAUUGCUCGUCUGCCGCCGGCGGGGGACCCUCGGUGGGUCCCUGGAAAUCUCUCCUGCGGUCUGUCUGUGGUUUUAGAAGGCCCAGCCAAAAGACCUCCCUCCUCGUCAGCCGCCUUUUUCUUUUUUCUUUUUUUUAUGUAUAUAUAUAUUUUCUCCUCCUAUUAAUUAAUUAAUUAAUUAAUAACGAAAUGGGGGAGGAGAAGACAAGGAAAGAAAGAGAUGGCGCGGGGGAUCGAAGAAGGUGAUAUGAGCCUCCGGCGGAGGCCGAUGACGGCGCACGCGCACGCGCUCGCCGCGCACGCCCUCCUCCUCUGCUUCUCCCUCCUCCUCGCUCUCAAACUCGACCGUCGAUUCUCCCACUCUUGGUGGUGCGUUCUCGUUUCUUCUUUUCUUUCAUGUUUUUUUUUUUUUUUUUUUCCUAGUGUUUUCUAGUUUUUUAAGUAAAUGAAUGAGAAAGAUUAAAAAGAAAAAAAAAAAGAACGAUGGAAAAGAUGUAACGCGACAACUACACGAAGUCGUAUUAUAUCCGACCCUGGAACAACACGAAGUCAUACAUUGAUGUUUCGUUGUCGCACUCGAUUGACAUUUAGAUGAAGGAUUCAGACUCGGAUUUUGUGUUCUUACUGAAUAAAAUUAGACUCCAAAGUUUCGGAUGCUUGAAUGUUACGCAUAAACACUAAACACUCGAUAUUACGCUAAUCCAAAGGGAUAAGGUUUGAUGAUAAAUUCCCGCAAUUUGGAAUCUGAAUAUAUAUGGAAGAGCAUUUGCAUUGGAAACUUUUAUUGUUCCUUUUUUUUUUUUUUUCUGUAAGUUGCUUCCCGAUCAUGCAGGAUUGUUUUCAUUCCCCUGUGGUUGUUCCACGCUGUUGUUUCUCGCAGUAGAUUCUCUUUACCUGCUCCGUUAUCGCCUCACAACCACCAUGUAAGUUUGGCGACUAUUGUAGUAGAUUAGGCUUUUGAUUUCUUAGUAGUCAUUUUAUAUCGAUGGUAAUAUUUAGAUUUAAUCACUCUUUUGCCGUGCAGUGGGCGCCUUGUCAUUCUAUUGUUGCUACACCAUUGCUUGUGGCAUUCGAGCUACUUCUGUGUGUUUAUCUUCAGAGCGUCGAUGGUAAAUGUCAAGAAUAUUUUGAAGUCUCUGUAAUUAUGUUUCGAUAUUGGACUUUCUAUAGUUAAUUCUUUAAUUACACUUCAUAUAUGCAGAUCAUGGAGAACCUGUUGUGAGCUUGAAACUUGUGUUUCUUCCACUGUUGGCAUUUGAAUUAACAAUUUUUAUUGAUAAUAUCAGGUAGUAUGUUUUUUGGGAGAUAAGAGUUAAAAUGUGCGCUUCAACGUGCACUUUGGUUAGCUAUUGUUCAUUGCCAUUGGGUACGUUCUGUUUUAACUUUAUUCUUUUACCAUCUAGGAUGUGUAGUGCUUUGAUGCCUGUAAAUGACGAAACUGCAAGUGACAGGGCUAUUUGGAAGAGACUUCCUGUAAGCUUGUUUCUUCCUUAUUUACUUUUUGUCUCAUUAUUAACAUUCUCUUGUUCGUGUUUAUUUAUGUUAAUUGCGACAUUGCUUUCCCUUGAUGCACGUUAUGUUACAGUAGUUAACUUUUUUCUCGAGAUUUUGAUGAUAUUGGAGCCCUUCCAGAUGCGGCGGUGGGGCGUCAUCUAAGUUUUAGCCCGUGCAUUCAUCCUUACAUCCACUUGCUGUUGUUUAUUGUGAGGUGAUACCAUGGCCAAUAGAUAGAACUCUGCUUGAAUAGUACCGUGCAAUGACUUAACAACUGCUCAAUGGAUAGCACUUUGCUUCAGAUUUUCUGGUGAUUGCAGAAUCGGAUUCUAGCAUUUCCCAGGACUUUGCCUUCGCAUUGGGGUCUUUCUUUCUUAUGUAUUAUCUUUUACUUAACGAAAUAUGUACCCUUCAACUGCAGACGAAAAAUAAUCAUUUUAGUUGGCAGGAGUCAACCCUCUCCCACUGAAUGGAUUUGGAGCAAAACUGUAGGAGAAGGCUUUUUUUUUUUUCUAUGGUUUCUCUUUGAAGUUUUUAUUGAUCCUCUAGUAUAGAAAUGUAAAGCAACAUUGCCUUCUUUGCUUGGAUAUCUCAGCAUUUUUUUUAAUUUUGUUAUGUUAUCUUUUUCUGUUAGUUUGCUUUACUGCUGAAUGAAAGUAUUAUGUAUGUUAAGAAGGAACAUUGAAAGCUACUAGAAAAUUGUGAUUUAUUAAUAAGGUCGCUAAACUUAUGCUGCAUGAAGCAUUAUCUAAGUUGUUAGUCAAACUAUCUUUUUACUCCUGAAAAAAAGUGCAACCAGAAAAUAUUCGUUCUACAGUACAUCAUGAAGGAAUUUUAAUGUGCAUAUACAAUCCUCUUUUAAUAAUUGUCUCUUGGGACUUAUAAAUUUCCAAUAAUUCUUUGUUAGCACUUCUGGGUUGCAAUCUCCAUGGUGUUUCUUGUAGCAGCUACCUUGUUCACACUCCUCAAGUUGAGCGGUAAACCUUGACCUCAAUCUAGUUUAUUAUUAUUAGUUUUCCUUUACUGUAGCAUUAAGAACUUCUUUCGGAACAACUCUGAUCUUUACCUUCUCAUAAAUAAAUCUUCUUUGUUCUUAUUAAAGUUCUUCUCAUAGUACUGAGUUUUGUAGUUAUCUGCUGGAGAUAACCGAGUGGAUAGUUCAAUAACUUAACUAUUUAAGUGAACAAGGAAAAAUCUUGAUGGUGCUCAUACUAUUGAAGGGAAAUUAUACAGAGACAUAAAUGACAUGAACAUUCUCUACGGUACAUGCUAACUUGUCUGUUUAUAAUUUGUACAACUUAUUUCAAUAUUUUAAAAUCUGUAGUAACUAUGUACUAGCCAACCUACUAGUAUUGGUUACUUCACAGUGCAAAUAUGGGCCUUAAAUGCUCAGACGCAAAUUUUCUACUGAUAUAACAUACUAUGUAAUCCUGAUUCUUUCGUACUAUUUUGCUGCUUAAUUAUUACCUAUAAAAUCUCAGAGGCUUAGGCACAAAGAGAUGGUUCCUGAUAUCUUGGACUCUGUGUAGUUGAUGACUGUGACUAUUUAUCUUAUAUAUUAAUUUCAUACAUCAAGAGCUAGCUUUUAGUUGCACUAGAACAACAUCACUUAUCUAGUAUGAACUGAGUUUACUAAUAAAAGUUUCUAAUAUGAUGCAGGAGAUAUAGGUGGCUUAAGCUGGUGGGAUUUAUUUAUAAAUUUUGGGUAAUAUUUCUUCUUUUUUUUAAAAAAAAAAAGGAAUCUUCUGUCGUUUUGAUCCUACUAAUUUUAUGUAACAAUAUUUUGGUACUUCUUUUCUAUGUUUUGACAGAAUUGCAGAAUGUUUUGCGUUUCUUGUCUGUACAAAGUGGUCUAACCCUCUGAUCGGUAGACAACCAUCUCAUUUUGCAACGACUUCAUUUACACUUCCCAGAUAUAGUAGGUGGUACUGUGGCUCAUCAUCUUCCUCUUUGGAGGAUUAUGAUGAGGAUAGAUUUUGUGGUCUGCAGGAUAUUGGAAGCUAUGUUAUGAAAGUUCCUCUUCUAAUUUUUCAGGUUCUCUUAUGUAUGCGCUUAGAGGUACGGGUGUUUUGGAAUACUUAUAUUUAAAUGUUUAUGCCCCAAAUGUAUGCAAGUAUUUAUUGUCUCAUCUACUGCUUUUUUCCUUUUCUUCAGCGGACACCUCCUGGUGCACAAUUCAUCCCAAUUUUUGCUCUUUAUUUGCCGAUAUUUCUUCUGCAAGUAACUGGUAUCUUUGUUGCUCUCUGGAGAUUACUUGAGAAGCUUGUUCUCUUAGUACGUAGUGGACCAAUCAACGAAAGAUAUGUUGCAAUCUCAUCAAAAAUUUAUGAUUUCUUUACAUUGGUGCAUCAUGGUUCAAGGUUGUAAUUUGAAUACAUCAUCAUAUACUGUUCGUGUACUCUCUAUUUAUACUUUCAAUUUUGAGAAUCAUCAUAAUAAUUCCCUUCCUUUUCUUUGGCACAAUUCAACAGACUUCUCAGUUGGUGGUCUAUUGAUGAAAGAAGUAAUGAGGAAAAAGCUCGCCUGUAUCAUGCUGGAACUACCGGGUACAGCACUUUCAGUGGCUUGUAUCGUCUCUUAGAAAUAGAAAAAAGACAAGUUAUCUCAAUUUCGUUUUUAUUGAUUGUGCAAUAUCAUCUAUAGAUACAAUACUUUCAGUGGCUAUGCACCAGAAAUGCUAAAGAAGAUGCCUAAGAAAGUUCUAAUAAAAGAGGUGCACUUCUACGACUAUUUUACUAAUUUGACCACAAAUCUCCAUAAUGUUCCUCAGCAUAUUGUCAACAUUAAUUGUCUGCGCCCCGUGAUGUAUUAUUCAUCGCAGUAUUUUUUUUUUUUACUCUGUGUUUUUUUUAAUGUUAGGUUUCAAGACUGCAAGUUGUUCUGGGAGAACAAACUGAAAUUGCCAAGAAUACCCAAGAAGAGUAUGAAAGACUUCAAAAUGUAAGAUACUUCUGGUUUAAUUACAAAAUUAUGACAAUAGAAUAGUUUGUACAGGGUGCAUUACAAAGUAUCUGAAGUCAUACGAUCCUAUUAGUGUUUAAUUGAAGCAUGUAGCACUAGUUGUUCUGCACUUUUCUAUUUCUGCCAAGUAACUUACAAUAUUUAAGUUAUCUAGGAUUACUAUCGCGUCAAAUUGGAGCCUAUUUUCUUCAUCCAGGGCCAUUUAGUUACAUCAUAUGUCAUCUAUUUUCCCAGAGUGAAGAUAAUUAGUCCCCAGUGGUGUUUCUAUCACACUGGACCUGCUUACCGGAAGCUGUAAAUUUAGCUAAUUACUUUCACGCAUAUACGGACUUCACCUCUUUUGAUAUCUCAUCACAAACUGUAAAUGGAUAUGUGCCUGCUCAUGCCAACCAGCACGGGUUGCACUGGCACAGCCAAUCAAAGUUGUUUUUCUAUUAAAUCAAGUAUGCGACAAUUUCUAUUGAAGCUAUCGAUUUUUUCUCACUUGCGAGUAUUUAUUUUUGUAUUCGUUCUCUUUUUGGUUGGUAACUGAGACGGAACACCGAAAAUAUCUAGCGUAAACCUUCUGUUUCAUGUUGUUAAUCAUCAUGCAGAAAUGGAACUUACAAAAUUCUGGUUGCAAUUAAACAGGAAAGAGUCUUGUGCAGGAUUUGCUUUGAGAAAGACGUACGCAUAGUCUUACUUCCUUGCCGGCAUUGUACUCUUUGCCAGUAAGCUUUCUUUAUUCAUAUACUUUUUAUCCAAUAUCCGACUGUUUCGAGAUAAAUUAGAGCAUCUCGACAUAGAUUUAAGCUUAUUUAUUAAAUAUACCUUGUCGUUUUCAGUGUUGUUACUUUUAAAUUGGAAGAUCUCUAACUCGAGCUUAUGUCUCGCUGAUAUAGACCCUGUUCAGCAAGGUGUCAGACGUGUCCAAUUUGCCGUGUGCCUAUUAUGAAGCGGAUAACUAUAAAUGAUCGAGAAAAGCUGAAUCAUGCAUCAGACCAAGAUCAUUAUGUGGAUUUGAAGAGUAUCAUGCAUGCGAAUUUUGUCUAAUUUGGCUUAUUGGGUUCUCUGUUUUUGGGAGGUAAAUAAUAUUGGCUGGCUGUGCUGAAGCCAUCAAGCUUUUUUUUUUUUUUUUUUUUUUUUUUUUCUCACAUUGUGGGUGUUACAGCUAUUUAUUUUGAUUUACUUCUAUUGUUUUGAUUUAUUUCUAUGUAUAUACAUAUGUAAGUUAGUGUUAUUCCCUCUUGUAAUGUGACAGCUAACAAAUUAAGUCUAAUCUUAGAUGUCACUGUAAGUGAUCUUUUCUUUUGACCUAUUAUAGUUAAUUAAUGAAUAAGAAUAUAGUUGGUGGGUAAGAAAUGUUGAUUCACUUGUAAAAAAUGCAUACAAUCAACGUUAACAACUUAUGGCCGGUAAAAAGCCCGUUCGGUGUUGAGGUGUAUGAGUGUAUUUAAUGCUAUUAUGCAAGACAGUUGGAAGCAAAAGUUUACAGAGAGUGAAACUAUAAAAAAUAUAUCAUAAUCAACUUAUUAGGAUACAUACAACAUGAUAUUAUGCAUGAAAAAUAAAUUAUAAAUGUAAUAUUCUUUUAUUAUAUUUUUUUAUUGGCCUUUUUGCAUAAAAAAUUCACUUAUUUUGGGCUUUUGCAAAAUCGGGUCAUCUUUUUCGUUUUUGCAGAUUCGGUCCGCUUUUUCAGCAAACUGACCAAAAUACCCUUAUUACUUUUUCUCUUUCCUCUUUCUCUCUCCUCUUCGUUUCUGUCGUUUUUUUUUUUCUCGCCGAAAAAAAAAGAGGCAGACCGGACCGUCGCCUUCUUCUUCACCGUCGCCUCCCUCCUCACCCUCCUUCUUCACUGUCGCCUCCCUCCUCACCCUCCUCUCCACCGCCCGCGACCCCCUCAUCCUUUCCCCCGCCGCCGCCGCCGAGCCCACCCCCACCGUCGUCUCUGUCGCCGUCGCCGAGCCAUGGCGGCGGCGGCGGCGGCAAAGGCGGAGGAGAGCGAGGGGGAGGGGAGGGGGUCGCGCGACUCCAUGGCCACCACCACGCUUUCCUUGAACGACACCGCCCCGCCGUCACCGUCGCCGUCACUAUUGGCGCUAUCGUCUUCAUCGUCUUCCGCCUUCUUCGGCGCCACGUCACCGAGUAUGGAGCCCGUGUCGGCGCCGGGGGGCUCAAAGAAGAGGCGGUCGACGUGCGCCGACCACUUGAUGCCGCGUAUCACGCUCUCUGACGACUCGCCGUCAUACUACUCGUCGUCGGACGGCGUCGUCGACAGGCUGGCCAUGUCCCGAUCGCUCCCCUCGUCCGACGAGUUGGUGAAGUGCGACUCCGGCGAGUCCGGCUGGUACGCCGAGUUGGCCGUCUUGUACAUGCAGCCCAACGACGGCGAGGCGGAGAAGAAGACGGCGAAGAAGAAGGCCUAAACUGGAUGCGGAGGCCGAGGCGGAGAAGAAGACGACGGCGAAGAAGAAGAAGGGGAGGCCGAGCGGCAUGGCGCAGGAGGGGGAGGCGGAGGCGCAGCCAGCGCCGGCGUCGGUGCCGCGCGUGUUCUUCUCCGUCGGUGCCGCCCCUCCUCCCGCCGCCGCGCAGAAGCCGGCGACCAGUGAAUGGUGUAAUGGUGCAAAUGGUGUAACAGUGUAAUGGUGCAAAUAGUAUAAUGGUGUAAUGGUGCAAAAUUGUAAUGGUGUAAUGGUGCAAAUGGUGUAAUGAUGUAAUGGUGCAAAAUGAUGUAAUGGUGUAAUAAUAUAAUGGUGCAAAUGGUGUAAUGGUGUAAUUGUGCAAAAUUGCAAUGGUGUAAUGGUGUAAUGGUGCAAAUAGUGUAAUGGUGUAAUAGUGCAAAUGGUGUAAUGGUGUAAUGGUGCAAAAUGGUGUAAUGGUGUAAUGAUGUAAUGGUCCCCACUCCUCGCCGGUGCCGGCUGCGCCUCCGCCUCUCCCUCAUGCGCCCUGCCGCUCGGCCUCCCUUUCUUCUUCUUCGCCGUCGUCUUCUUCUCCGCCUCGGCCUCCGCAUCCAGCCCGACCCCGUUUGCCGCGGCCGCUGCCGCUGCCGCUGCCGCGACGGGAUCGGGCUGGGGGUCCGCGGCGUCGGUGCCAGCUGUGCUUCCACCUCCCCCUCCUGCGCCCUGCCGCUCGGCCUCCCCUUCUUUUUCUUCGCCGUCGUCUUCUUCUCCGCAUCCAGCCCGACCCCGUUCACCGCGGCCGCUGCCGCCGCGGCGACGGGAUCGGGCUGGGGGUCCGCGGCGCCGGUGCUGGCUAUGCUUCCGCCUCCCCCUCUUGCGCCCUGCCGCUCGGCCUCCCCUUCUUUUUCUUCGCCGUCGUCUUCUUCUCCGCAUCUAGCCCGACCCAGUUCGCCGCGGCCGCUGCCGCCGCGGCGACGGGAUCGGGCUGGGGGUCCGCGGCGGCGGGGGAGAGGAGGAGGGGGUCGCGGGCGGUGGAGAGGAGGGUGAGGAGGGAGGCGACGGUGAAGAAGAAGGCGACGGUCCGCCUCUUUUUUUUUCGGCGAGAAUUUUUUUUUCGGCGAGAAAAAAAAAAAGAACGACAGAAACGAAGAGGAGAGAGAAAGAGGAAAGAGAAAAGUAAUAAGGGUAUUUUGGUCAGUUUGCUGAAAAAGCGGACCGAAUCUGUAAAAAUAAAAAAUGUGACCAGAUUUUGCAAAAAUCUAAAAUAAGUAAAUUUUUUAUGCGAAAAGGCCAAUGAUAAAUGCCAAAAUUGACUAACUGCUAGAUUAUAGUAGAAAUUUAACGAAUCGCCAGGGCCGCUUGUCUUGGAGGGCUGUUGGAUACCAUGUGGGGUCCUCCAAUCCUAGAAUCUCUGCAAAUUCCCUUAAGUCUAUUCAGCUCACUAAAUCGACCGUGUGGUUAUCACUGCUCUUUCCAAUGUCUCCUUAUUAUCAACUUCAAUUGCCNCGUCUUCUUCUCCGCAUCCAGCCCGACCCCGUUCACCGCGGCCGCUACCGCCGCGGCGACGGGAUCGGGCUGGGGGUCCGGGACGGCAGGGGAGAGGAGGAGGGGGUCGCGGGCGGUGGAGAGGAGGGUGAGGAGGGAGGCAACGGUGAAGAAGAAGGCGACGGUCCACCUCUUUUUUUUUCGGCGAGAAAAAAAAAAAAGAACACAGAAACGAAGAGGAGAGAGAAAGAGGAAAGAGAAAAAAUAAUAAGGGUAUUUUGGUCAGUUUGUUGAAAAAGCGGACCGAAUCUGUAAAAACGAAAAAGGUGAUCCGAUUUUGCAAAAGCCCAAAAUAAGUGGAUUUUUUAUGCAAAAAGGCCUUUUUUAUUUAUAACACACUCUUUUUGAAAUUCCAAAUGAGCUUUCAGAAAUGCAGUGUAAGUAUGAAUUUUCUGGUACGUUGCUUUGUGAUCAGAUAAUCUGUGCUGAUGAUAAUUUAAGCUAGAUAUCAGUCAAAUUAUAAUUUUACACAAAAGUGGGUCGUACCUAAAUAUCUAGCUUGGAUAAAGAUAAAAAUAUGUUUUACAGCAGAGAAAAACACAAUGUGCAGAUUUAGACUUGAUGUGAAGGGUGAUGGCUAAUUUAUGUUACGCUCAAUUUACGCAAUGGAUCAUUCAUGAAUUGGUUUGACAAACCAACAAACUAUACAAUUAAACCUUUACGAAUAUGAUUAAUUUAAUAUGUUAACACGGAUCAAUUAAUAUUCAAAUGCAAAUGCUUUAUGAGAGAAUGCAAAUCCUACGGCUCUCGAAGAACUUGCUAUAGGCGUAUAGCAUUUACGUAAAUAAGAUUUAACUAGUUUAUAUUUUGUUGAGCUGUCACAUUGGAGAUCUAAUUAAUGGUUCAAAUAUAUCUAAAAAGGGUACAAGUGAUCACAAGGCCCACUAUAGUAUAUUUGCUAUUUAAUUUGUCAGAAGGAUACAUAUAUAUACAGAACUAAAACAUGUUUCACGAUUUUAAAACAUGUUUCACAAUUUUAAUGAGGCCCUCGCUGCCUCAGCUUAUUUCACCUAAUUCAUAUUUUUAAUGAAUGAAGUGGAUAGCAUGCUACCUUUUUCUCAAAAAAAAAAAUAUGCUGUCAUAUGCAUCUUUUAAAUCCUUGUAUUACAAGGUUAGUAAAUUAAUUCCUCACGCCAAAUGAGAACAGUGUUUGGUAAAAUGAAAUUGCACAUGACCAAGUCAAUUAUGGAGGCUCAUAUAUAUCUACGUUACGUACUUAAUUACGGUGGGUUUUUUAACUUCCCCUCCGAAAAACAAAAAGAUUAACUAUAUAUUGAACGCAUUAUUAAUGCUCAAGAAUUAAUAUAUUACUAGUGCAGAGACCCGUGCGAUGCAGCGGGUAGAUAAUAAAAGUAAAAUUUAAAAAUUUUAAUAAAUUUUAUAUUUACGAUUUAUUGAUAUAUAGAAAGCUAUAACAUAUUAAGUACAGUUAAUUUGUAUGACUAAAUUUACAUAGUAAGUAGAGGCCCCCGCGCGGACAGACUCAGCAGGCACUUAUAUAGGUCCCGGCUCGGCUUCGCGGGACGAUACUUCUUGAAGGAGACAAUGUUCUUCAGAGGCUCUUCUUAUUCUUCUUCUUCUUCUUUGUAAACACAAUGAGAGAAAGAGGGAGAUGAGUGCGGAGUAAGAGAUUAGACGAUGAUAUUUUUUUAUGGUGCAUGUAAAAGAGUUACAAAAGAGAGGGAGUAGGAGAUUAAUUAAUGGAGGAGGGGAGUGGUGCAUGUAAAAGAAUUACAAAAGAGAGGGAGUGGGAGAUUAAUGGAGGAGGAAGGUGGUUAAAGUUAUAAAAUAGAAUCUUAAUAUGGUGCAUGUAAUUAAAUAUUGCAUAUAAUUAGAGUAGUGGUGAGGUGAGUUAGGCAUUAAGAAAAGAAGAAGGUGGUUUGAUUUAAAGUUACAUAUAAUUAAAUGUUGUAACUUACAUAUAAUUAGAGGAGUGGGAAGAUGAAGAAUUGAGAGUUGAAAAGAGGAGAAGGUGGUUUGAUUUAAAGUUGGCUAUGAGAAGUAAGAAUAACAUGUCACGUGGCAAAAAAUAUUGUGGCUUCAUAUAGGUUUAUAGAUUGAACGCAUACAACGAACAAAUAUAAAUAGCCUUUUCCACACUUUUAAAUUCCUAUAUGUUUGAUAUUAUUUUCCUUUAUUAAUCAACUAUAUAUCAUUCAUCUCUUUUAGUGUGUCCUUAAAAGCUUGAAAUAUUAUCACCACAAAAUGCCUCGUAAAGGUGCAUACGCACCCUUUCAUUCACCGCGAUAGAGUGAAUGUAUGCAAGAACAAAAACAUUAAUUUCAACCACAUUAUGCCAUACUCGGUGCUAUUUGGGUCGUAAAAUUUAUCAUAUUUUUCUUCACAUGCAUAUGUAUAAAUAGCGCGACAUCCGUGCACUCGAUUUGAGACCAUGAAAGCAACCCUUUUAGUUCGGCAUAUAACUCUUAUGCAGAUCGUUUGAUCAUGUACAAAUGGGUCAGAGCUCAAGGCAUGCGCAUAAAGCAGGUGUGGUGAAUGUGGACACAGCCUAUCAAAAUAUGGUAAGGUCUAAUGGUCUAUGGAUAAGCCCAAAGCAAAAGCUAACGAGGGCGGCAUGCAAAUAUAACAAUCUCUCAGUAACAAGCGAACUGUGAAAUGAAGAAGAAAAGAGACUCACCUGUCACCUCUUUAAUUUAAGUACUUGUUUCCCUCCAUUGUAGACAUUAGUGUGAUCGAGGGAAAAAAAAAAGAAAAUUAAAACUGAGGAAAGUUUUUAGGAAAUUGUUAUUACAAAAGCUUUUUUUUUUUUUUUUUUUACUGUCACAGCACGAUGUUCAAAAUGUUUUUGACUUGAUAUAAUGUACGUGCACUGAUAUUGCUUUUUCAAUAUUAUAUAUAUAUAUAUAUAUAUUAUUGAUCAGCUAGAAUACUUUUAAUAUUAUUUGGACCUUUUUAUCACUAAAUUUAUAAUCUUGAAUAAAAAAUUACAUGAUUGGAAUUAUACUGGUUCCUUAAAGUGUUUAGUGGAUGGUUGAUAAAAUAGCAUCAUCUAAAAAGUAAAAUUGAUAAUAAUGAUAAAAAACUAAAUAACACUGACACUGCUUAAUACUAUUAAAAAUAUUCCGGCCAAACUCACUCUCUCUCUCUCUGUAUAUACAUAUAUAUAGAGAACUAAGCUACUAUACUAUCGGUAGCACGAAGCGCUCUGUGCUACCAAGUUGUUUUCGAUGAUGUGGCUUCCAAAUCGACGAUCGGCUCUGAUAGACUUGAUCAACACUAUUGAAAGUAUUUAGAAACUAAAUUUCAUAAUUUUUCGAUAUCAUUUAUCUAUCAAAUAAAUAGUCUAAAAUUGAAUGGCUGAAAAUAAAAAUCUCAUAAAAAAUGAUGAUAAAAGAUUUAAAUUCAAGAUCAGAUAUAUUGAUCUUACUCUAAAUAGUGAAAGAAUUUUCUAUAAAAUUUUUAUCGCAUUUGAAUUGUUUUACAUUGUUAAACUCAUGAACACACCACAUUGGCCAUUAAAACUAUCAAUUUUGAGAUCUUUUGAUCACUAAAUGAUGUCGAAAAAAAUCUGAAAUUUAGUUUUCAAAUACUUUCAAUAGUAUAGAUCAAGUCUAACGGAGCUGAUAGUCGAUUUGGAAGCCGCAUCAUCGAAAACAACUUGGUAGCACGGAACCCUCCGUACUACCGAUAGUAUAGUAGUCGGGCUCUAUAUAUAUAUAUAUAUAUAUAUAGAGAGAGAGAGAGAGAGAGAGAGAGAGAGAGAGAGAGAGAGGGUGUGGGUGUGGUGUGGGUGUCAAAUAAUGGAGAACUUAAUGUGGCCACCAUAGAAUGGACUAGAAAAGGUUGGAGGUGGUCUUUGUGACAAGCUCUCGAAGCCUCUCAACAACCNGUGGGUGUGGGUGUGGCGUGGGUGUCAAAUAAUGGAGAACUUAAUGUGGCCACCAUAGAAUGGACUAGAAAAGGUUGGAGGUGGUCUUUGUGACAAGCUCUCGAAGCCUCUCAACAACCUCCACGUGAUGCCGCAUUAUAGGGUAUUCAUACGAAUCACUUCACAUCGAUCAACUCACUCACUCUCACUUCAUUGAUCUCACUGAUGCCCCAUGACCCACCCUAUAUCUCCCUCCAAUGAGUUGAGAGAAGGGUUCUUGUGACUCCUUUUGGGCUGUAAAUUAAUAAACGAAUCUUUCUACUGUUUAUAUAACCCCUCCCCUCUCCUCCCCUCUCCCGCACUUAUUUUCUUCAAUCCCUUUCCUGAGCCCUUCUGUUCAUUCUCACCCCCCCACCCGUUAUGUCCCUAUAUAUCCUCAUCUUUUUAAGUCCUUUUUCUUUGAAGCUACUUUGAAUUCCUUCUCUUAGCUAGUCAUUAAGUAGAGGGAACGGACACAUGAUCAUCUCUAGCUAGAACAAACAAAAGGAAGGAAAAUAAGGAAAAGAAAAAUCUUAUGCCCUAGCUAGAUAUAUGUCUUCUAUGCGGAGUCGCGAUCAUCAAAUUAGUAUAGCUAUUUCAAGGUAAGUACUUGACAUUACACACCCAGAUGUUACCUUAUCUUAACCCUCAGUAUCUAUCAGGCAAGUCCUUUUAUAGACAGCAGGAAGCAAGCCUUCCUCUCUCUAACUCCGCCGCCGCGCUCUCUCCUCCGACGUACGAUAUCGACCUUUUCGCCGCCCACUUCCUCCCUUCCGAUUGGCCGGGGCCACUGGACACGCCGGAUUUGGCUCCGCAAGGCAGCAAGGAGGCGAAUGCAGCUGCCGCGCCACCGGCGAGAGAGGGCGGCCAGAAAAAGCGCCGUUUGAGGACCGACCGGCACAGCAAGAUAACGACUGCGCAGGGAGUCAGGGACCGGAGGAUGCGGCUCUCGCUCGACGUGGCGGGCAAAUUCUUCGCUCUUCAGGACAUGCUAGGGUUCGACAAGGCCAGCCAGACGGUCGACUGGCUGCUUACGCAGUCGAAGCCCGCGAUCAAGCGGCUGAUCAAUGAGUCAUCCAACAAGAACAAUAAUAAAACCCCAGAAAAAUGUGAGUCGUGCACAUCAGAAUGGGGAGAUCUGAUCUCCGCAACUUCAUUAACAGCUUCAAGAAAGGGGAAAGUUGACAAGGCAGUGAGCAAAGCUGCAGUCGACCCGAAUCCCAGUAAAGGGUUGAGGGAGAAGGCGAGAGCGAGGGCGAGGGAAAGGACACAAGAGAAAAGAAGGAUGAUGGGUAAUGGGAUGGGAAAUGGUUGUAAAAUAUAUCAAAUGGCUCCUGCUGAAGCUGAGAAUAUUGUAAAGGAGGGAGAUUGCUUCAAUGGGGAUAAGAAUGAGCGUAGCACAGUGGCUGUGGUGCCCUCAUGGGACAUAUGCAAGAAUGGCAAGGUUGAUUACCUCAUAAAUGAGUUGAUGAACAAAGGUUUCACAGGUAAUAUUGAAGAAGAAGAAGAAGAAGAAGAAGAAGAAGGCAAUUCCUUUGGAAAUAUGCAGUUCCAGGACAGCUCCUGGGAUGACUACAGCAUGCUGAGUUUCUAAUUUUUAAGAGCUCAAUCAAUUGAUCUCCAUCUUAAUUAGUCUAUUUUAUCUGUGUUUCACUAUGUCUCAUUAGUUUCCAGUUAAAGCAUGCACUUUGAAGAUCUUGGAACCCUUCAGCUGUUCAGCUUCUAGUAUAUAUUAAGAGAUUAGAAUUCGUGUUGCGUAAAAACAUUCCAGAAAUUAACGUUAUAUAGAAGAAGAAAAUAUAUAUCUAUAUAUGUUGGAUGUGCAAUUAUUUUUAUCGAGCCUUUCACUCAAAUUAUAAUUCCUUUAAUUGAUCGGCCGGUCCGAGCUUAGCUUAAUGAAGCUAUUUAGGUUGUCUAAAAGGUUGUUCACAUAGUCCUUGGAAUUAAUAUGAGAUUGCUAACUGAAAGUGGACCUCUAAAGUGGAUUAGGCCUUAGCACAUCCCACCCUCUCAUGUUUACAAUGCAUAGCAGAAGUUCAAAACCUAAAAACUGUAGGCCGACAAGAGUUAUCAAGGUCAAAACCUAAAAAACGUAGGCCGACAAGAGUUAUCAAGAAAUUAUCAAGGCAUAUGGAGAAAGAUGAAGAUGAGAAGAUAGAAAAAAAAGUUAGAUAUGAUGGGCGAUAAUUGUCGAAUCCACAACCUCUUAUGCCGUCUGAGGGCCCAAUAUGGCUUUGAUACCAUAUUAAAACUUGUAAGAGAUUGAUCCUUUAUGAAUGGGCAUACAAAUAGGCAUCUCAUGUCUGGUUGAAUUAAAAUUAAUUUGAUCAAUGAUGUGUCCUCUUCCAACUUUAGAACUACUACUUUGCACAUAGAAUAAGCCGGUCCAUUGCGAUAUAUUCUAAUUAUGUAUAUAGUUGCUUGUAGCUUUUAGUAUGAAGAAGCUUGCAGUGUUUGGAUUCAUGUUAUUUCUCACUUCACAUUUGCAGUCAUGCAAUAAAUGUCAUUCAUCUGUGAUGAGAUAAAUAAUUCUAACGCAAUCAAGCAUAUGAGGCAUGUAAAGAUGUUGUAUAUCUAAGUUACCAUAUAUGAGUCUGAUUGUUACUAUCAAGAAAAGUGGCUUAUUUCGUCAUACAUGAUCAGUAUCUAAACUUUAUUUUGAAGCUUCAAGCUUUUUCAUAACAUUAUAGGUUCCAUGUUUCAAAUGUGCAAAAGAUGAUAGAAGCAUAUUCGAUUGACUAAGAUUAAUUGUUCAUUCCUUAAUUAGUAAAUGUUACAGCUUAUCUUGUUCAUAUUUACCUUAUGCUGCGGAUUUUGAAUUGAAAGUUAUCGAAGUUGGAAAACUUAAUGUAGAUUGAUUUGUUAUAAUAUUCAUUUGGCUAAACCUAAAAUUAUGCUUCUGCUUUAUUGACUUCCUCUAAAAAAGCAAGUCGCUAGUAAUAUAUUCAGCUACUACUCGAACCAAUUUGGAAAGAUUUAACAUGAAUUAGUACAACUCUUUUUUAUCCCAGCUAUAUACUCAAACCGAUUUGGCAAGAUUUUAACAUGAACGAGUACAACUUUUCUUGAUCUGAACAAUUUAGUUUAUUGAAUUAUGUAAAGACAGGUCAUUCUUGAUGACCAAUCAAAAUUCUAAGGAUGCCUAAAAUUAACAGAUUUCACCUAUAUGCAAAAAUUGUUUCAAGAAACUAAGUACAGAGAUUAAUUGGUCAUUCAACGGAUUUGAGUCAUUAACCACAAGCUCUGUUCGAUGAGUCAAAUUACGGCCACAUAUAAUACCUCUUCUAGAUAAGAAAACACAACCAGUCAUUACCACCUUCUUGAACAUAUAUAGUGUUUUGGUUUCCAAGAAGAUGUUAACAGUAAAAACAAACUGUUCUAAUAUCUCUAUUAAGCAGAAGUAAUAUUUCUAAUAUAUCUUCUAUAAGAAUCCUGGUUCAUUAGAUAAGCAAGGACCUUCAUAUAUUAGAUCAGAUCAAUAGCAAUGCGAAUAUAUAUUGCAUGUCUCCAAAUAAGAGAAUUGUAUUAGAAUCUCGUAGAUUUUAAUUGCUUCCUUUUCCUAUGUUUCUAUCUGUCAGUUAAAAAACAGUUAAAACUUGAUUGCCAACAAAUUCAUAUGGAAUAGGCCCAACCAUGUCUUGCAGAAUUUAUAAGGAUAUCUUUGGACCGUGAGAAAGGCAAGCCUGCCUCUGAGAACAUGCCCGCCUUGAACUGGCAGUCAUGCUGGGAAAUGAAAUGCUAGGGAACGAAUACUAGCAACAAAUAAAGAGUUAAAAUGCGAGGCAUGGCGAAACAACAAUAUUUGGGUGCAUUUCGACUUCAAUAGAGGCAUUAAUAAACGAAUUGCAAGAAGCAACGAACUAACGCUGAAAAAGAUUGAUGCUUAUGAUGAAAACAACAUGGCGCACUCUAUCGAUCUUUACUCAAAAAAUGAAAUUACAAAUACCUAAUGAUGUCUUUCAGUAAGCAAUUUCAGUACAAGUUGAACCACUGUGUUACUAAUUAACUUACAAUCUAAGCAGAAUCUAAAAGUUUUCACUUUAGUAAACAUGAUGAAAAGAGCUUUUUGCAAUACCAUUCAAAGAACCUCUUCAGAAGUAUGAAAUUGGUUAGCUUAAUUACUGGCUUAGUUACUAAAUUUAACUUGAAAUACAAAAGCCGCGACCAAAUUAAUUUAACUUGAGGCACAAUGUAAGAAUUUUGAGGUUUUUUUUUUUUCAUUUUUCCCUAAGGGGAUCCAAGAUUCUUAAGAUUUGAAAUGCGAAAAUGCAAUAGUAAGAGCUCCAAGAUGGUUGCAACAUCUAUGCCUGCCUUUUCUAGUCCUCUGCUUGCGGCCGCUUCAUUCCUUAAUUGUAUUCUUCUUUUUGCCCUAUGUCUAAUUAAUUUAAGUUUAUCAAUAAUUAAAACAUUAAUUAAUUAUAUGAGUAAUUAAACUACAUAGAUUAAAUAUACAUAUACCUGUUCGGGAGCCUUUGAGAUCAAACUACAGAGAUUAGAUAAGUGGUUAUAUUCAUACAUUUAAUUUCUUCAUAAAUUAAUCAUACCAUGCCUUCUUAUUUGUCUUUUGGUGGGGACCCUUUUUAUUGUGUUGAGAUUUGGUUCAUUUCAUUUAUGCGGCGCUUUACUACAAGUGGUCACCACAAAUCAACAGGAAACCCUUAGGGCAACACUUUGACUAUUAUAUAGUACUAGUGAAAUAAUCUGCUCGAUGCAACGGAUAAAUAAUAAAAAAAAAUUAUAGAAGAAAUAAAAAUAUAGAAAUAUAAAUAUUUCAUGAUUGUUAAAAAUAGGACAGACAGCGAUGGUAGCAUACACCAUCCUUUUUGAGGAUGCAUGAGGAACAACGGAUAAGGACCGAAGGGCUUCGAGUAGCGCGCAAGAGGAAAAGGAGGAGAGAAAAAGAAAUUCUAAAAUCAUGGGUGGAGAGAUAUAAAACCUUCCACCCAAACUGCUCUAUAGAUGAGAUGAGGGAAGAGAGAGAUGUCACCGUCGGUUUGGAAAAUAAGAAAAAAAGUAAGAGUUUGGAAAAUAAAAAAAAGUAAGAGAUAUGAGAAGAAAAAAAAAGAGAGAGAGAAAGUUAAAUGAUAUGGAUAUGAGGGAGAGAAAGGAUUUUACUAAGAUAAAAAAUAAUAGAGAAAAAUUUAAAAUAAAUAGUNUUAAAUGAUAUGGAUAUGAGGGAGAGAAAGGAUUUUACUAAGAUAAAAAAUAAUAGAGAAAAAUUUAAAAUAAAUAGUAGGUCCCACCAUUCUCAAAUUAAGCUGGUGCAUCCACAUUGAAUUUCACCAUAAGAAAUCAUGUAUUGGUAUAGAUACUACAUAUAAUAUAAGAUCUUUAGGACAACUAAUGUUCAUAAAGUAACUCCUUAAAUGAAACAAGCCAUCACUCUACUUCAACUACUUUUAGAACCUAACAUUAGGGUAGUACUUACUCUGAUGUUUUUGUGAUGCGCUAUGAGGCCAAAGUUUAGUUGUUGAAGAUGGAAACAACAAGCGUAGGUAUGACCAAGAAAUAAAGAAAACUAUAUUACACUACGGGUGCAUGGGGUAUAGUAUAUCUCUGUUUACCCCAAUAUACUAUAUACGUUGAGCACUUAAUUAGUCAAUUGAUCGAUAGGUUUACGUACCAUAUAUAUCUUUAUUGGACUUUAGGACAAAUAUUCUAUUAAAUCUAUUUAGCUUUUUGAAGUCUUUAAUGGUACAUUGGCAAUCUAUAUAUUACUACAAUGUUUAGGCACUAAUACGGCCAAAAAUAAAACUUAAAUAUAAUAUUAUUAAAUGAUCUGUUCUACUAUUCAAAUGUUAUAUAUAACAUCCUAAGUCGUUUUAGAUGAUAAGCAUCCCGAAUCAAUGAUUAGAACGUUAAAACUGAUCUAGAGCAUUUAUAAUGUUUAAAAACUAAAUUUCAUACAUUUUAAAAUUCAUUAGCAAGUUCAUUAAAGAGACAAAAAAUAAACGGUCAAAAACGAAUAACCUUAUGAAAACAGAUGUUAGACUUUUUCAAUUUAUAAUCGGAGUUAUUUAAAUAGUAUAAAAAAAUUUAUAUUAAAAAUUCAAGCCGUUUAGAUUGUUCUACGCUAUUAAACAAGCAAAUAACUCAUAUAUAUAGGCUAUCAAAAACUGUUGAUUUUGUAAUCCUUUGAUUACUACGUAAAUAAUUUUUUAAAUUUAUAAAAUUUAAUUUCUAAAUACUUUAAAUAUUCAUAAUCAAUUUUAAAGGUUCUGAUCAUCGAUUCGAAAUUCCUAUCAUCUAAAACGACUUAGAAGGACGAAGAGAUUCUAUAAUAUAUAUAUUCAUGUAAAACAAUUCUUUUUUUGUGAAAACUUAGCCGGUAAAGAACGGUAUUUUACUAGUUUAUCUUCAGCACUCCCUCUCAUGUUUGAUUCAAGAUUUUUAAUCAAUUAAUAGGAUAAGCUGCCAACUUUUAAUGAAACGAGUGGAGAUUUUGGCACAUGUAUAAAUGAACCAGAUAAGAUUUGAAUUUAAGAUCUCCUGUUCAAAUUCUUAUUAAUAAUUUAGUUUAACUCCGCUGAAAAUGAUGCUAACUGCUUGAUCUAGCUAUAGCUAGAACCAAUUAGUCCUCCACAUAAACCCUAAUUUCUAGAAAUGAAGGUAAUUAAUGAAGGUUCUCCUCUAGAACUCCCUAAUAAAUCUAUAGAAAUUAAACCCCUAAUCACUCUUCUAUAUGACCCCUAAUUACUCACAAUGGACAUGAAUUUCUGAAACCAUCACUAGCUAGCUAGAGAGUCGACGCAAAAUAUAUAAUGGUGUCUUACAUAUCUGAGACACCUAAUUCCGAUAUCUUUUUCCAAACCUUUCCGUAUUAAUGGUGUCUUAUAUCUGCAAAGCACGACAAGUACCAAUUUAUGAACAUAUUCUCCAAGGUUAAUUCUCUUAAAAUUGGUAUAUAUAUUUUGUUUCUUACUACGCGAGUUUAUAAUACUUAUCAAAGAAAACCAAUUUUGUUAGCAGAACCCAAUUCUAUUACUUUUAUAUACCCAUUAAUCAUUUUUAGUGGUUGCCAAUCAUGUUAACAGUCAUGAUCACCAUCAGACAAAUCUCAACUUUUUAAUUUCUUGAUGUGUGCAUGUAUAUAUGCNCAUUUUUUUUUUUUUUUUUUUCUUGAGUACUGAAAUUUUAUGCGAUAAUUAAACAAAUAUAUAUAGCUGAUGUUAACUCAUGAUAUUGAUUCACUACACAAGUAGUUUUUGAGCCAGUCCUACAGGCACCACCAGAUGCAUUGUUGGCACUCAACGUAUACUCAUCGUCAGAUUCUUAAACCAACCACUGUGCAUUAAUAAUUUUAUAUGAGAAAGUUUAAAAAUAUAUACUGAUGUUUUCAAAAUCGGCAUUUCAGAUAAUUAAUACCAUAAAUUCACAGCUAAAAGGCGCUAACUAGAAUUUUAUACGAAAUUAAUUAGUUAACAGCAUAAUGUGUAUCUUAUAGCUAGAGAGAAACACAUGCAUGAACUAUAUUUAUACACACACAUGCACCAAGAGAUAUUGAGGGUAGCAGCAUGCAUACAUACCUUAAUUUUUGUGUGUCCGAUCACGAAGAGACAAAUUAAGAAGAUCUAGUUUCGAAGAAACAUCAGAGAAACAUCAGAGGGUGCAGGAGUUUCGGUUUCGCCACGCCAUUUCAGGAAGGGAUUAGCCAACCUUUUCUUGCUCUUUUUGGUAUGUAAACAAGCUUUCAUGCUAUAUAUAGAUCGAUGAACUUGAUUCUGAUGUAUAAAAAAGGGCUGAGCUUGGAAAUGGCCUAAGUAAUUAAUGAGAUAUUGCACGACAAUUAAUCUUAUAGAAAUAAUAAUAAACAAGGCACGUAUAUAUAUAUAUAUAAGGUAUUGCUGUGGUUCUUCUUAGAGUGGACCACAUGAGCAGCACCCUUCUCAGGGGCUUUUGACUCUCGAGCUCGUAUUAUUGCUGUGGUUUUUUUUUUUAAAGAAAAGGAAUAGCUUUGUCCUUAAUUAGUACGUUCCAGGAAAUUGAAUCUGGCUCAGCUGUAGGCGUAGAGUAUACUAACAAAAGAAAAAAAGUACUUUAAAACUAAUUAAUCUCCGUUUUUAUUGCUUAUUAAAUACCAAUUAAACAAUAAUUAUUUCAACAAAAAUUGAGUUUAAUUAGGCUGAUCUAGAUGGGCUUGGGCAAAGUACGAGACUCGAAAUCACACCAGCUGGUGUUAACCAUUCGGGCGAAUUGAAAAGAAAAAAUCUUGUUUGCAACAAUUAUAAUUAAUAAGAUAUUUCUCAAACUAAUCAUAUUGUGCCAGGAAAGAGUCCAAUCACAAUCACGAAUAAUAUGAUAAUAUUACGUAUUCAAAAUGAUGCUCUAAAAUUUUUUUUCUCAUACUUUUAUUCAAUUAAGGACUGUUUAGUUGCAGGCAGUUUUAAUUAAUUUCACUGCAAUUGUCAUUGUAUAUAAAUUCAAAUCCGGUGUUUAGUUAAUUUGAUGUAUUUGGAUUUAACUGCUAUAUUUGGAACUGUACGAAGCAGCUCAAUUAUAGCAGUUGAAUUUACGCUCAAAUUAAUUAGUCGCAACUUCAACUGUAGUAAUUAAAAAAAAAAAAGUAAAUCUAAACAAAAAUAAGCUUCCCUUCCUGAUAAUUGUUUAAUUAGAAAUAACUUUUUCCUACAUAGGUGUAAUCUCUCAAUUUCGUAUAUAUAAAGUAAUAAAAUUUUAUAAAUACAAUUCAAAAUUGCAUAUAAUCAAAUAAAUUAUUUAUAAUUAUAGUGCUAUAUACUACAUCUAAUAAAAUACGAUGUAUACAAUGAUAACUACUAUAUUCUUUAUUAUAUAUAUUUUAAACUACACAAUAUUUAUAAUUACAUUCAAACGGUGGGAACUAUAAGUCUAUAACACACAAGGAUCUCUCCACGAAGAAAAAGUCUAAAAUAUAUCAAUUAUAUUAUUGAUGGGGUAUUCCCAGCUAAUCAAUUUUUUUAAAAAAAAAUUCACCAAAUCCAUCAUAAUUAUUAAAAAAUAUAUUUUUUUAUAUUAUAUAUAUAUAUAUAUAUAUAAAAUUUGAUGGAUAAUAAUACGUUGUAAAUGUGAUACAGCAGAAUUCCAUGAAUUGGGCCGGCAGCUACCCCGUGAUUGGUGCGGCCUAAAUUACAGUCGUCCCACAAAUAGCUGCUCAACAUUGUAGAGCAAUUAAUAACUCACAGCGCUUGUUCGAGGCCGUACGAUGCCAGAUCUGCCUCGAUUCGACGGCCCAAAUUGGCGGGAUCCGUACCCAAAUGAUUAAAAUAUGCUUCCAAAGCCGUCCAAUCACACCUAAUUAUCAUCUCCUCGACAAUGAAUUUCUAUUGUUGAUUAAUAAAUAGGCACCUACUCUAAAAUAAAUAAAUAAAUAAAUAUAUAUAUAUAUAUAUAUAUAUAGUCCGACUAUUAUACUCUUAUCAGUAUGAUCGCCCUCAUACUCAUAAGUUAUUUUUGAUGAUAGAGCUUUUGAAUCAACGAUUCAUAUCGUUAAAUAUUAUUUAGAGCAUUUAAAACUUCUAAAAAUCUAAUUUUAUAAUUUUUUGAUAUUAUUUACUUUAUAAUCAAAAGGUCACAAAAUUAACAAUUUUUAACGACCGAUAUGGAAUACUUGCUAGUUUAACGGUGUAAAAGAAUUGAAAUAGUUAGAAUUUUUAAUAGAAAAUUCUCUUUACUAUCUAAAUAAAUAUCAAUAACUCAAAUUUUAAAUUGAAGGAUCCGACCAUCCAUUUUGAGAACGUCGUUCGAUUUUGACCGUUCAUUUUUUGCUCGCUUGAUGAACUUUAUUGUGAUUUUAAAAAAUUAUAAAAUUUAUUUUUUAGAAGUUUUAAGUAUUUUAUAUUAUAUUUGACAGAAAAGAUCGUCGAUUCGAAAACUGUAUCAUAGAAAAUAAUUUAUGAGUACCAAAGGGUUCUAUACUAAUUUGGCUUUUGCGUAUGCUAAAUAGAUUAACACAUAACACAUGCAUACUAGAAGGAUACGGGUUAAGCUUACGUUUUGUUUGCUAACAGAGUUAAGAUCCUAAAUCCAAGCAUGGCUCGUCUAAACUUGGAUUGCUUAGUAAUGUAGCUUUCAUCCUCUGAGUCCUAUUAGUUUUUAUCACUUUUAAAGAUCGAUAGUAUAAUAAUAUUUUAAUUUUGGAAAAGUAACAUUUAUCAUAUCGUGGUAACUAAAAAUUUGAUGAAUAUAAAAAAAGAUGAUUGGACGUUACAAGGCAGGUCGCGGUGGACAAAGUUUAGUAUUUGGAAAUGGCAAGGAAAAUAAAAUUUAUAGACGCGCACAAUUAAAGCAAACGUAAGAGGGAGAGCGGGAUCCAUGCGUCAGUGAUGUGACAAACAUGUGCUGCUACAUGACACCUACGUAUCCUUUUGAAAUGUACGGAGCGUUGAUAUAAACCAAUUUUUUGCUGUAGAAAAUCAUGUUAAUCCUUAUCCACCCUUUCGAUGUACAAUAGUAACAAAAGAGAAGAAAGGUUUGGGGACUAGAGCUUGUUAAAGCCAUUCUUCGAUUAAAGUUAAAAAAAAAAAAGAGAACAACAACAUAAAGAAUUAAGAAAAAUGUCAAAUACAUCCAUAAUUUCAAAUAUUUGGAUUGUCGUAAAUUAAUUUUUCACUUUUUUUUUUUACACAUUUUAAUGAAAGUAGAGCUUUUCCUUUUCCACCUCUUUUACGCGAAAGAUGAAAACUACUCAUCAAAACAUGCGGCUCACGGCAGCAGAAAAAAAAACACGAUCGAGGAGAAAAGCUGAUUCUCGUGGACCGCAUAGGAGGUCUCAUCAUGGACCUAUCUUUCUUUCUUUAUAUAUAUAUAUAUAUAUAUAUNUAAUAUAUAGACUAGAAUAAAAUACAUAUAAUAAUAUCUUAUUUUAUUUGUUUUUUUUCUUUUUCUUUCAAGCAACUGUAAAUCCGUAAUAAAUAAAAAAAAAUCCUACAAACCACACACUAAAGAGCAUAAAAUUUAUUUUCUUCAAAAAAAAAUUUUCCAUCAAAAAUUACUUUUCACACUUUUACGUAAAACCAAACCGCCCCUAAAGUAGAACUCACCAUAAUGGUUGACAAUAUAGAACAAAUUCUAACAUUUUCUAUAGAAAUAGUUGUUCGACAAAAUUCUAUUUGUAUCAUAGCACGACUUAGCCAAUACUUGCUAUAUAUCAAUUAAUAAGCACAAGAAAGCAAAGGUUGAUCAUCAGAGCUCAAAGAAUAAGAGUAUCAGAUGGGGAAACUCUGUUAGAGCUAUAAUGUUAUAUAAUUAACCUACUGAAGGAACUAAAAGGAACACAUUCGGACCAGGCAAAUCAACAUUCACCCCAUGCCUUUUGAUCUCUGGCAGUAUACCCACACAUGAAGAGACCAUUUAAUACGAAGAAGCCGAUGGGCUUGACGGCCGAGGGCGGCCCCUGCUGUAUUUGGGAGGGUUAGUUCUAGCGACAUCAACAACUAUCAUCCAGCCAUUAAUUAUCUGCAAAAAGAAAGAAAUAAUUUGUGAGUUAUACUCUCACGAGAUUUUCGUUAGCCGUCGUGCCUGUUCGGCCUAGCUUCUCUACUGUAAAAAACACAAGUAUUUGGCAAAUAAGUGUUUUAGAACUUUUGUCAUAGUAGGAAAGCUAAAGUAAGCUUCUGAGCAUCGUGAAUAGAUGUUUCAAUUUAAAGCUUUUGCUCCUACUUGUGCAAAGAUAUUGCAGGUGAAGUGUUUGCACUAAAUUGUUCUAGUGUUUCUUCGAACAGAACAUCUGCAAAUGCUCCAGCUAGGCAAAACAGAACCGUCGGACAAAAACCAUGUUCUUGUUACCUUCCCAUUCAUCUCUCUCAAAGCAGCACCUGCUGCUUCUUCUGUCGUGUACUCUAUGAAGGCAUAACCCUUCGACCUUUUCGAUAUCUUGUCCAUUAUUAUUUUGACUGUUCCAAAGACAUUAAAAGAUACGUCAGAUUACCACCCAUUGUUCAGUUAAAGAAUUAAUAAUUAAUUGAUGAGGCAAAGGGUACUGUAACCUUCAAUGAGUUCACCAAAUCCUUCAAAAGCCGCACGCAAAGUUUUCUCAGAUGUAUAGAAUGAAAGUCCUGCCCAAAAAUGUUUAACAGGGAUGUAGAAAUGUAUCAGAAAUUUUACUUCUCACGAAACUCAAUAAGCUUUGUAACACAAAAUUAGGUGUAUAAAAGCAAAGAGUAAGAGCUUUUUGGAGGGACUGCAUUACUUUCCAAAUACAAAAGCAAUUAGCCUUAAAUUCAGAGACCGGACUUAAGAUGGACAUCAUGGUAAUCAAAUCCUAUCACAUGAUGCAUCUACCUCACCAACCAGGUUUCUUGUUUAAUCCAACUUGACAAUUUUUUACUUCAUGAAACCCCCUUUUAAGAAAUCUAUGGUGAAAGGAAGCCCUACAGGUUUUAAGGAGUAGGGGAUAUCCAUCUUGACAAGAAAUUAUCUAUAUGUUAUGUUCGUGGCACAGAACAAAUUAAUUGAUAAGGAAUAGGAUCCAUAUUCAUUAAUAGUCAAGAGUGUGAUACAUAUUUAUUCAUCUAUAUACCUAUCUAAAACUUCUUAUGAAACAAAAAAUCAUUACUGCACCUAAUAUCGACUUGUUUGGGCCAUUAGGUCCGCUCUUGCAUUAAUAUCCUAAUCAUCUGAAGUAAGCCUUGCUGCUUUACAUAGGUAUACUACAAUGGAGACCACACUGUUAUCUUUAUGACCAAUCUAAAAAGCGGAAUGAUAUUUAAUGGUAUUUAGAAGCAGUUUUAAAUGUCCAUUGGCCCUCUCAUACUUACACAUCUGCUCAAGUAACCAAGCACUCAAGUGCCUGUUACUUACAUCUGUUGAUUAUUAGACUAUUACCUUAAAUACACCUGGCACAUUCUUGUCAAGAAAUUUGUUACAUUCUUCUAAAUGUCCUUACUUGCAUAUUUUACCAGUCAAAAGGUCCUUAUGUUCUACCUUUGCCUACUAAACUUUGGACAGAGAACCAGAGCAUCAAAGCAAAUAUAGCGAAUAAUUUUAGCAUUGAAAAAUUUUACUGAAAAGGAUGAUAAUAUGAGUUCUUGGAAUAAAAGAUGAAUCAGAACAGCAUACAAACUGAUAAAAGCAAACAAAAAGAAAACCGUAACAGUAAGGAGGUACUUACCAGUCACAAAAAGCCUUUUGGUUUUGACAUCUGGCAACUGAUUUGUUUCUGAUGUCUUCGGUGAGUUGCCAUGAUCUGCAUAGUCACAGCUAUGUUGAAGUAUGGAAAGCACACAAAGUAUCAAUCCACAAAAAGAUAUAGCUGUCCCUUACAAGUUGUGAAUGAGAACAAUAAAAUUGAACAUAAGAAAACUUAAAAGUCGCCUUCAGAUCGAGACAUCUGAAAGUUAACAUGCCACACAGCUAAACUAUCCUCUGAACCACAAGCAUAAAGUUCUAGAGGCUCCACCGACCAUCAAUGCAAGUACUAUGGUCUACGAGCAUAUUGUACAGAAAUUAAAAAACCAACAUCACAGGAAAAUUCAAUUGAUUCAGGCAGAAAGUAAGACACCUGACGGACGUCUGUAAUCUUUGUUAUCUGACCCAAAAUUAUUAUCAGGUCGAACGGACAGGACCCCAGGGACAUCUAGCAUGCAAAUAAAAAAUCUCUUAGACUAUUGAAAUAUAAGGCAGACCUGUUGCAGAUGCUUCAGAGUACCAAUUACUCACCAGCUAGCUCUCGUGCACAUUCCUUGUCAACAUGGCAGCAAAACCCAAAAUCCUUCUCCCAUGAGAUGUUAUAUAUCGAAACUUGUGCAUCCUUCUCACUGCAGAAACAGAAUGUGUGGUAAUUUUGAUGAUUAUCAUUACAAAGGAGAAUCGAUAAUAUUGAAGUCAGAUUAAGGAGAGAGAAACACUCACUUUCCCAAAACCUUUGUUAGGAUCUGAGUGUAAUGAUCCACCAUUUGUGCUUUAGUCACGACUUCAACCCCAGGCUUCUCCAUUUGAACAAGCCAGUAUUCGUUUCUCCCCGUUGAUGGAGAAAAUUUAGGAGGACUGCUGUUAGAUUCCAACUGGUCAACAAACGAGAGGUUCAAAUUGCCAUAAUCCUUCUUUCCAAGUUCUUCAUCUCUAUCAGGCUUAACGGAUAAAACGCCAGGCAUACCUAGAGUGAGAAAGAAAAUGUAAAUAACAAGUGUAAACAAAAAUCAAAUUAUGCUCAAAUCUUAAUUUACACUCAUUUGCUUGUUAUCCUAAACUACAGAAAAAUGAUCCACAACUUGAUGUGUUUUUAAGUUGAAACUUGCUACCUCACUUGUUGCUGCGUUGUAAACCUGAAAUGACCAAACACUACUAUGUUCGAGCUAGUGACAAUUACUUAACCAUACAUAACAUAUGAAUAAAAGAGUGGAAUGCCUCUCCGAACUGUAUCAUUUGACUCCAUCCAUCAACUUAGAACCAAUAGAAUGAAAAUACUUCAAAGAUGUAUGAAAUUGCAAACUCACGGGCGAGCUCUUGCGACGACGCUUCAUCAAUUUCGCAGCAAAAACCAUAAUUUGUUUGCCACGACGCAUCAUAUAUACACAUCUGGGCCUCCUUUUCACUGUUCAUAACACCGAAACCAGUAAGAAGAGCCCAAAACGUACGCAGCAGUACGGAAACACCGGAAAAACCCGUACCUUCCCAAAACCCUAGCUAGGGUUUCGACGUAGUAAUCGACGACUUCCGCUCUCGACGAUCCACCAGCAGGGGGUUUCUCCAUCACCACCACCCACUUUGUACUCGCGGGGCCAGAGGAGGAGGGAGGAGGCGAAGCCGCGCCGGCCCCGGCCGACGACGGCGACGGCCACGGCGCCGCGGCGGCGCGCGCAGAGGCGGCUACAAGGCGGGGGAAGGAGCGGCGAGUGGGUUUGGGGAAGGGGGCGGCGGGUCCGGCACCGGAGAGAUGGUGGUUUUCCGGCGAGCGGCGGAGGAUGGCUUGAGGGUGGGAGAUGGCUAGGGUUUCGGCGACGGAGAGGAGGAGAACGUCCAUGGCGACCAUCGCCUCCGCCUCCGCCGCCGCCGAGAACGGAGGAAGUGAGAGCAACUCCUAAUUCAAAUGCUCUUCCCACCACCACAUGGUUACGGGAUUUAUCAUUUUUUAGCUCGUAAUAUAAUAAUAGUGUCAGUGUAUCACUCUCGUCCGUUGAUAUUUUGGCCCAUUUAAAGUAAAUUGAAAAAUUGAAAAAAAAUUUAAAUAAAAUAAAAAUAAAAGUUGAAAUUUAGUUAGAUUCAAGUUGAGCCUGGGUUAGUAUGGGACUUUAGAGCCGGGUCAGGUACUCAGGUCAAUGUACAAAAAAGGGGCUACAAUGGGCUGUUUGGGCCGGGCCUCUUUUUUGUUGUGGUGCCCCGAUGACUUUUUCAAAGCUUAAUUUGUCAGAAUAGCUUUAUGCUAAUUUUAUAAGUCAAGUCUCCUUUUUUUUAUUUUCUUUCUCUGACAAGGUAUGUUGUGAGAUUAAAGUAAAAAAACAAACCUUAAUCAAUGAGUUCCCGCGGUAUUUAGAAUAGUGGAUACUGGAUAGGUAUUCUCUGACCUUACAUAUAUUGUAUAAUAAUCACUUAGCCUUAAAAAAUAUUAAGAGACCUUUUGAUUAAAGAAAUAAUAAUAAAUAAAAAAUAUAGUUAAAAAUAAGUGCAGUUAAAAAUAUAGUAGUUGUGAACUUGUGAUUGUACCUAUCUCAAGCUAUAAAUAUUUUAUUAAUUAGAACUAGGCUGGAAUACUAUUAAUAGCACCAAUGGCUUGGUGCUAUUAAGUUUUCUGCUCUUAAGUUAAAAGAUGUGCGGUUUUGAUGAUAUGGGCCACCUAGGGUUGAGUGGGUGGUUAAUUGAAUAGUAUAAUCGAAUAGAUAAAAAUAAUAAAAUAGGUGGAUCUGAAACUUGAUAGUAUCAAAUACUUCGUGCUAUCGAUAGUAUCACAGCCGGACUCAUUAGAACUAGGCUGGAAUACUAUUAAUAGCACCAAUGACUUUGUGCUAUUAAGUUUUCUACUCUUAGAUUAAAAGAUGUGCAGUUUGGAUGUUGAAAUUAUAAAUUUUGUAAUAUAUAUAUGAGUCCAGUUACGGUGCUUGUAAAAGCACCAAGCACUUGGUGCUUGUAAGUUUUUUACCGUUAGAUCUACUUCUCGGAUAAUUUUCAACCAUUAGAUUAUACUAUUCAAUCAACCACCCACUAAACCCUAGGGGGCCCAUAUCAUUCUAACCGCAUAUCUCUUAAUCCAAUGGCUUUUUAAUCUACAAGCACCAAUAUCUCUCAAUUCUAUAUAUAUAUAUAUAUAUAUAUAAGAGAGAGAGAGAGAGAGAGAGAGAGAGAGAGAGAGUAGGUCUCCCAUGUUUUCGAAAGUACGGAGGCUUCCGUGCUUGUAAAUUGUUUUCGAUGAUAGGACAUCCGAUUCGACGAUCGGCUCCGUUAGGCAUAAUCUAUCCUAUUGGAACUAUUUAGAAACCAAAUUUUAUAAUUUUUCGACUUCAUUUACCAAGUGAUCAAAGGGUCUCAAAAAUGACUAUUUUAACGGCCGAUGUGGUAUGUUUUUAAGUUCAACGGUGUAGAAGUAUCCAAAUUACAUGAAACUUUAAUAAAAAAUUCUACUUAACAUCAAGAGCAAGAACAAUACUUCCGAUUUGAAAUUUGAGUCCUUUAUCGCUGUUUUUUAUAAAAUUUUUAUUUUCAGCCGUUCAUUUUGAGGCUACUCGUUCACUAGGCAAACGAAGUUAAAAAAUUAUGAAAUUUGGUUUCUAGAUAGUUCCAAUAGCGUAGAUCAUGGCUAACGAAACCGAUCGCCGAAUUGGACGUCUCAUCAUCGAAAACAACUUACAAGCACGGAGACCUAUGUACUUUCGAAAACAUAGGAGUCUAGCUAUAUAUAUAUAUAUAUAUAUAUAUAAUAUAUAUAUAUAUAUAUAUAUAUGGUACAGCUAUUUUCAAUGUAAAAUAAAGUAUAUUUUCAAUUUAAAUGGUUAUUAUGAAGAUAGGUUUUUUUUUUCUUUUUAAUUUAAAGUUAGAAUUGCGGCUAACAUAGGCAUAGUCUUAAUAAUUACAAUUAAAUUUCGAUGUAUACAAUUAAAUACAAAAGUUGAAUCUGUAUGUAAUAACUACUACAGUACGGUUAUUAUUUUAUGCUAUCAAACAGCUAUAAUUGCUGUACUAAUUCAGCAUUAAAACGCUAGUACCGAUAGCCAGAUGAUACAACAACAUGCGAUAGUUGACUUUAAACUUUAAAGGUGGGAUAUUUAAACUUACUUGAGAUCUUUAAAUUAAGAAGCUGGAACUCUUAAUCUAAAAAUAUAUAUAUAUGUACGUUAAUACGUAUAGUAUAAGCUGUCAAGUGACUCGUAGUUGGUUUUGGAAAUGAAUAUAGUUUAAUCAGCUGAUGCGCACGAAAAUUAUGCACAAGGCGCGAUCACGACCGUUCAAUCCUCGUGUCCCUCUUAGUCAAACCAAUCAUGUGAAUUAUUAUACACAGUAAACGACCACUCUAAAUACUCUUUCCCCGCUUCCCCCCUCCCCCGGCUUCGCUCCUCGCUCCUCUUUCUUCAACGACCAAAACUUUUGACUUCCUCAAGAAGCCGCACCUCCUCCUCCUCCUCCUCCAUUAAUGGCGACGGAGGAGCCACUGCCGCCGCCGCCGCUUUCGCAGCUCCAUGGCGUGGUCAUCAUCUCCCUCCCUCCCCCCGAUGACCCCUCCAAGGGCAAGACCAUCACGGCGUUCACCCUCUCCGACUCCGCCCCCCUCCACCACCCUCCUCCUUCGCCGCCGCAGCAGCAGCCCUCUCGAUCGCCUCCGUCGCCGGAGCGCCGCCGCGUCCUCUCGUCCUCCGCGAGGAAGGCGCUCGCCUCCGUCCUCGGCGCAUCCUUCCUCGUCUUCUCCCUAGGGCUCUGCCUCUUCUCCGAGGCGCCGCUCGAGCUCCUCGGGAGCGGCUCCGAGGAGGAAGGGAGGGCGCGCGACGAGGCGCGAUCGUUCUUGCUCCCGCUGUACCCGAAAACGCGGGGGAGGGUUCUGAGGGAGGUGGGGGAUAUCAAGCUCGCGGCGACGAGAGAUGAGGAUGGGAUGGAGGGGGUGAGAUUGGCGAAGCAGGGGAGCAAGAUGACGGUGUCUCCUUCUUCUUCUUCUUUUUCUUCUUCGUCGUCGUCGUCUUCUUCGGUGAAUUCGACCGUUGCGCUCCCGAUCCAAGGGAAUGUGUUCCCCGAUGGGUAAUGUUCUUUAGAUCUCUUCCCAAUAUCUUCUAUUAGUUUCUGGAUUUAAUUUGGUUACAGUGAAUAUCACAUCGGUUCUAAUUCAAUUUCAAUUUCAAUUUGCAUGAUGUGAGAAAACAUCGUUAGCCCAAGCUACAUGAAUAGAACAGUAGUUUAUUCAUGUACGGAGUUUCAUAUAUAGGACGGGUAUUAGGGUAUGUCGUAAUUUAAUCGCUUAUUUUAUUAGUAAAAUUUUAAGCUCAUUUUGAUGUAAUUGUGCAUAUGUGUGGUUAUUGUUUGCUUAUUGCCCUGCUAAUUCAUAUACCAGUUCUCUUUAACUAGCGGAUUUAGGAGCUAUACUUAGUAUGGUCUUUUACUUCUUUCGGUUCAAUGGUGCAGAAUCACCUUAAAUGUUUGCACUGAUCUAACCCUAUAUAGUUAUUUUUUCUCGAGUUCAUUCUCUCUUAGAUGCUUUUUGCAGACAAUAUUACACUUCCAUUUUUGUUGGGAAUCCUCCAAGACCUUAUUUCCUUGAUGUGGAUACUGGGAGUGACUUGACUUGGAUCCAAUGUGAUGCUCCAUGUGCCAGCUGUGCCAAGGUAUAUACAAUGUUACACCCUUAAUCAUGAAAUAGUGAUAAAACUAAAACAAAAUUUGCUUCUGUCGGAACUAUUAUCUUUGUUUAUAAAAUUCUCCUCUUCAAAAGUUUAGCAUGUGGCUUAUGAACACUUAACAGGAUACCCAUGAUUAUUUUCUACUCGGAUUCCAUAGUUUCUGGAUAACUACUGUGUUAUACUUAAAGUCAAUGUUUUGCCAGGGACCACAUCCAUUAUAUAAGCCUGCCAAGGGAAAGAUAGUCCCGCCUAGGGACUUACUGUGUCAGGAACUGCAAGGUAAUCAGAAAUCUUGCGAGUCUUGCCUACAAUGUGAUUAUGAGAUAGAGUAUGCAGAUAGGAGUUCCUCGAUGGGUGUUCUUGCAAGGGAUGAAAUGCAUCUGAUUGCUACGAAUGGUGACAGAGAAAAGCUAAGCUUUGUUUUUGGGUAUGUCCAUGUUCGUAGGUUUGACCUUAUAUUUAGUAAUAUAGAUAAACCUUUAUCUUACAGCUCUAUGUUCUAAUCACUUGGAACUCAUAUGUAGGUGUGCUUAUGACCAACAAGGUCAACUUCUAGCCUCUCCGGCAAAGACAGAUGGGAUCCUUGGACUUAGCAGUGCAAAAAUUAGUCUUCCUUCUCAGUUAGCCAGUCAAGGAAUCAUCUCUAAUGUCAUUGGUCAUUGUAUUACCAGUGAACCGAAUGGUGGUGGCUAUAUGUUUCUAGGUGAUGAUUUUGUACCGGUAUGGGGAAUGACAUGGGUACCCGCUCGUAGUGGUCUUGUGUAAGUACAAUCUUCUUCUUGUUCAAAUGAUUCUUCUACUUUCAAAUGAAUCUUAUACUUGUCAUUGUCUUUUUUUAUGUUGCUAAAAUUUCCAUGUUAGUUUUCUUAUCGUUCUGUUCAUUAGCUUUUGUUUCCUUUUUUUGUACAUUUCGCCUUAAUGCAGAUAGACAAUUUGUAAUGCUGAUCAUGCAUUUCCUGCAUAUUUCAGUAAUUUUUACUACACGGAGGUUCAGAAAGUAAAUUAUGGAGAUGUAACACUCAGCGCUGGUGGCCAGAAAAGCAAUUUGGUUCAAGUCAUCUUUGACAGCGGCAGCUCUUAUACCUUUUUCCCAAAUGAAGCAUACAAUAAUCUGAUUGCUUCUGUGAGUUCUUUGCCCAGACUUUACUAGUUCAUCAUUAUAGCCGACUAAUGAUUCUUUGAACUUGGCAGUUUAAAAAUCUUCCGAGUGGUCUUGCUCGAGAUGACUCUGAUCAAACACUUCCUGUGUGUUGGAGAGCUGAUUUUCCUGUCAGGUAGUCUGACGAAAAUUAAUAUGUGAAUUGGGUCAUAUUUUUCUUGUAUUUUCCGAUUUUAGCCAUUUCAACUUGGUGCUUCCGCGUAGUCUAAAUAGAUGGAUAAUAUGGUUCUUUUGUAAGAAACUGCUUGUUUGAGGGGUAUAUGAACUUUAGAAUUUAGGGGGAUAGCUUUAACUUGAUGAUUUUACCUGGAUAUAUAUGUAAAAGCUCCUUCUUUAGAUACAGAACCCCAAAAGUAGUUCUUCUGCAUGCAAACUUAAGAUAAUAUGGUUUUUCAUAUAAAAUUCAUGGUAUUGCAGGUCUGUGAAAGAUGUGAAGCGGUUUUUCAAGCCCUUGACUCUACAGUUUAGAAAGAGAUGGUGGGUCAUGCCCACAACUUUCACUAUUCCUCCAGAAGGCUACUUACUUAUUAGUGUAAGAUUCUGUGAGCUUUGUAGCUUUUUUAUUCCAAGUUUUUUUGUUUCUUAUUUUUUCCACCAUUUCUAUUCAAAAGACUCUUUGAGUUACAAUUGAGGCUUCGCAUGUGCAGGGUGAAGGAAAUGUGUGCUUGGGAAUACUUAAUGGAAUGGAAAUUCACCAUGGCUCAACAAUUAUAAUAGGAGGUACAGAUCGGCUCGAUCUUCUUUGUGCUAUACAUCAUGACUGAAUUUAUCUGAAUAUCAAUUUGCAUUAACUUUGACCGUAUCGGAAUUUGUAGAUGUUUCUUUGCGUGGGAAGUUGGUCGUAUAUGAUAAUGUGCGGAACAAAAUCGGAUGGGCUCGCUCGGACUGUGCCAAACCACAAAAAACGAGCAGCUUUCCUUUCUUCUUCUGAGGUAAAAUUGUACCGAUAGAAACGAUAGUAAUUACUGUUAAAUGCGACGGAUCAUCGAGGGCUUACUCUGCUUGGUCACGACCUUUGCUGUUGGGUCUUUCUGGAAUAGAGGCAGGUAGGAUGCAUUCAACCACCUCAGGUUCGGAUUUGCGCAGAUUCAAUUUGUUGUACAGUAUGCAAGCAGAAAUCAGAACAAAAUGUCUCGAUGGUUCAAACUGUUUUUGUCUUAGUUUGGUGUGUUGUAUAUAAUAGCUACCGAUGAAUAUAGAAUACUCUGCUUCAGUACGAGGGGCAUGAUAAUUAUGUCAUAUAUUUUAAAGUCAACUGGGUGGGCAUUAAUCUGGUCUAAACUUCCUAUUUACAUUUAGUUGUAGUUUACAGAGCACUGGGCCUGUGUGAUAAUAAAGAGGAUUCACCAAUACGCGUGACCGUCCACCAGAAGAGUAACAUCUCAACUAAUUGUGCCAACAAUUGGAGACAUCUUACCUGAUUAGUUAGGAGCAUAUCUUCACACCUACAGAAGUAAUAAAUUCUCCGUACCUUAUGAAUCAAAUGCUUAUUUGAUUGUAGAAAAUUCAAACAAGCAAUCCUCUUCUGAUGCUGGGACAAGUGGGGCUCUGCAAUUGUAUAUCAGGGGGACCGAUGAAACCCACACUUUAACCGCCGCCACUACAUGAAUAAGUGCGAGCUAGCACAAGCACUUCCUUUCAGAGCGAAACCCGCACUUUAACCGCCGCCACUAUAUGAAUAAGUGCGAGCUAGCACAAGCACUUCCUUUCAGAGCGAAACCCGCACUUUAACCGCCGCCACUAUAUGAAUGAGUAAGUGCGACCUAGCACAAGCACUUCCUUUCAGACCGAAACGCUGUAACGGAAGAACACUAGCACUUUCUUUUGAAGUGGCGAUGUUUCAGAGCACAAUGCCACUUAUCGUGCAGGUUGAUGUUGACGCAUGGAGUUUGGCAUGAGCUUAGUGUCAACAGAAUGAAUCUCUGCAUUGGAGAGUAGAAACUCACCUAACAUUGUCCUCUGUGGACAACUCAAAUUGUGCCUAGGAAUCCUCUUUUGGACCCAUGGUCAGGCUCUACCACUCAUGGCCAUUGGGCCCAACUAAUCGGUCGCCACCAGACCUUUACAAUCGACAGUGUUGGACCAUAAAGAAUUCUGAAAAAUGGAUUGAACUGGGUGUUAAGAAAAUAAUUGUGUGAACAAAAGGAAUCGACCUGCUGCUGCUGAAUUAACUGUCCACUAACUGAAGAUAGUUCUAACUGGACUUAAAAUAAGAGUUAUGCAGUAUAGCUAAAGAAAAGCUGGUAAUUUUGAAGGUAAAAUCAAUAGAGUAAUCAUCUCUUACCAAAUAUAUUACCAGCCAACAAUGCUCUCGCUCCCUUCACAAGUGAGCUUUGAUGCAUAUGCCAACUUAAAGUAAAAUACAAUAAUAAUAAAAAAAAAACACUAUUUAAGCACUAAAAUAGAAAUUGUCCUUGUUCAGUUAAUGCAAUCAAUUUGAUGUGAGAUUACAAGGAUUCAAGCUAUUAGGUAUGAACAAUUGAAACCGUAGAAGAGAGAAACCAAUUACCGACAGCUCCAUGCCCACAUACAGUUCUAACAUAUCUCCAACCAAAGAAAAAAAAUAUAUUAAUUACAUUUCCUCAUAAUGAAAUUGCAUCCACCAUGCUCACGCCACGACAAAUUGGGUAGCCAUCAAUCUGCUUUCCUGUUGAAGCGGGAUCAAAUAUCACCAAGUUUCUGACAUUUUAUCAUUUAACCCACAAAAGCGACCUCCUUACAAGCUCGGACUCUUCGUGGACACGGACCUCCAUCUCCUUAAUGCAGACUUCCCAACAAAAAUUGGAUCAAAUAUCACAUGACUUUUGAAGCUUCGUAGUUCUACACACAAACCUUCUAACAAAUUCAUACUCUUCAACAUCAUGAACACACUUUCUCCUCAAUGUAGAGCACUUCAACCGACUGUACAUACUUUAUUGAGAUCGCAUCUUCCCCUUCUAUUUUCAUGUCAGCAACAGAUAAACGCACAAAGGGAUCUACAAAAUUUUCCAGAUUAAGAUCUAAUCAACUCUUCAGUCCAAUAAAUUUGCAUAUUCUGCUUAAGAGCCCAGAAGUCUUCGCUGCUGGUUCGUUCACCGGAUCCCUGAAGUUAGCUACCUUACUAAGUUCUUCGAAGGCAUCAACAAGAUUCUGAAGCCUGGCGACAAAUUCAAUCAGAAGUGAAGCAAAUGUUGCCAGCGAUAAUGCACUUGCACUCUCGUACACUUUAGAUUCUUCUUCAGCAGGCAGUACAUCUAGAUUGAAUGAUGAUCUCCUAGCAGGCCAAGAUAGUUGCUGCUUCAACAACAUGUCUGCUGUUGAAGAGGAAUCGAGUCUACUGAUUGAAUUAUGAAUGAUCGAGUUCUUUGAUGAUUGGAUCGAUGCAAGACCAAGAACCACUUCACUAUUUGAUUUGGUUGCUGGAUUUUUGUUUUCUAUUUCAAUGGAAUUGAUUCCAUCUGAUUCUUCCUUUAUUUUUCCUUCGAGAUGCUUAUUGCCACCCCAGCUUUCCCAAUUCACUAGAAGGUAUGAUUUCUGGUCUACCUUCUUUUGUAACCGUUCAGCUGCCUCAUGGACUUCUAAGAGAAUAUCUUGUGGACUUAAUUUUGUCAUCGUCUUGACUUUGUUUCCCAAAUCACGUAAUACUUUAGCACCUUCAAUACCUACUCUCCGUAGUUCAUCACUGAAAACUUGUCUGCUCUCUGGUGGUGCCUAUAGAAAAGGAUAUAAAAGAAGUUCUUAAAUGCCAAAAGUGGGGGUAGAAAGACAUGUCUAAGAAAAUAAAAAUAGUUCAAUCCAAAUAAAUAUGCACAUGAACGUCCCAAUUAACAACUGCAUAACUUCUUUACAGCUGCAUCGUAUCAAUGACGGCAACAGUGACUAUCAUGAAAAUAGCUUAACACAAGAUUAUAAGGAAGCAAGUAUUAAAUCCAAAAAAUUAGAUAAUUUGGUAUGUAUAUUACUUUGAACUCAAAAAAGAAAAGAAAAGAAAAGAAAAGAGGAGCUCUGAUCUUUUCACAAAAUGCUUUAAAGUACCAUGCAUGUCACCGUUCACAACUUACCUGCGCAAAAAAGUAAGAAAAAGAAACUUUAGACCAAACGUAACUUGAAUUAUUGCCAUACAGAUUCAAUUUUCAAUCCAAGCGAACCAAUGGCUCUGCACUCUGGCAGACAAUAUAAAUUAAAUAUGCCUCAACAGACUCAAUUUUGACUCAUACAACAAAAUACACUCCAACUGUUCUAGCCUGAAUUUGGUCUGCAUCACAUUGCUUCUCAUAUUGAGCAUGCAAUCUCCUGUCAUAUCCUAUUAAAAGAAAAAAUUCCAGUACAUCUUGGAUAACAGACCAAAAGGUUGCCUUACAAUCAUGGGAGAAAAAAAAUUACGAUAGAAGCGAAGCAAACCUGUAUUUCUGCAAGUAUGCAGCCAUGCAACGCCAUGACUGUGAAUGCGCAGUGCCUCAGAGCCCCACUAACUUUAAUAUAGUUCUUCCAGGGAUACUUUAGCAUCUUGUAAGGACCAUGUGGAGGCUCCCAAACAGCAAAACCUAACUGCAAAAAAAAAGAAAAAGGGUUCACUAACAUCCUAGACAACAAGAAAUGUCACGAUAAUUGUUUUGAAGUAAAUACACACAAGAGCAUCCUCUUUGGCAGUUGACUCAACAGCUGACCUAUACCCGCUGUACAAAGGAUCAUCAGAAGCUUGGUACGUAAGGAUUUUCGAAGGGAUCCUUUCAUACUCCAUGCAUUGAAGAUAUCCAUUAACACAGCCUGACAAAACACAAAUUAGCUGACAAUUUUACGCUAGGUUAAAAACCGGAUUAUGUUGUUCUGAUUUAAGCUACUAUGCAUCAUAAUGAUGCCUGGAAUACAUAUGGUAGACAAGAAACAAGCAUGAGAAAAGACCUUCCAGGGACUUGGCAACACCUAUGAAAUUUUUCGCUACCAAGUUGUGCAGAUCUUCUCCUGCCCAUAUUGGAUAGAUGCAGAUGUUGACUCCCAAGCAAACACAAGCACCGAGUGCAAUAAGUAAAAAGCGACUAACAGCUGUAUGGAGAAAUUCUUUUGUCCUGUAUCCCGAGACCAUAAUGAAGCAAAACGUGAGCAGGAAAACUCGAAAGCCAUACUCAUAAGGCUUCAUCGUCGGGUAUAACUUCAUAUAGCUUGCAAAGAAUCCUGGAAUUCAGAGCAUUAUGGUGAUGAAAGAUGCGAGAAGUAAUAUAUUACAAGUAGGGACCACUAAUGAAAAAGAAUAAAAGGAGCAAGGUUUUUAUUAAAUGGUAUCAUACCCACAAUGAAAAUGCUAAUCAUAAGAAAAACUUCUUCCAACGGUCCUGUCAAUGUAGAUAAUUCAGCCACUGCUAAAGCAAGUCCUCCAGCAGUCAAUGUUCCUAAACCCCGAUUAAAUCCUUUGCUUAAAGUUGCACCUGUAUGACAGCAAUGUCGAGAUUAGGAGGCAUUAUCAUGACAAACUUGCACUGUAUAGUUAAGAAAUGAAUAUUAUAAACUAUGGUUUUGAUUUUCCAUGUAGUUUGUAGAGAUCAUUACUGUCAAUAAAAACUUGAUACCACUUUUGCUCUUUUCACAGCCAAUUUAAAGCCAAUCGUUAGCUCUAGAAAGAAAAUUGGGUCCAUCAUACUUGGAUGGUUUGGAAAAACAACCAAACAAGCAAAUUUAACAGAGCACCAUCCUUCUCCUUGUAGUAGAUGAUUUUUGAUGUUUCAAAUCUGUUAUACACCAAAGAGGGUCAGUAUUCAGCAGGUAAUUCAGAACAGGUCCCUAAACUUUUUUAUUCUUUUUUGUAUUAAUUUUACCCCCAAAAUAACAGAUUGUCUUCACAAUCUAUGUAACAUAAUAUUCCGUAGAUUAACUAAAUAUCCAUUACUUAAUGGAAUAUUUUAUGAUUCUUUUUAACAGCAACUUCAAAUUUGAUCAAAGCUAAUUAAAAAAAAAACUUGUUAGUUGGGGGUUUGAGAUCCAAAAAAAGAAAAAAAAUUAGGGACCUAUUUCCAA
RNAcentral lists this long non-coding RNA (38600 nucleotides) under Ananas comosus (pineapple). RNAcentral describes it as "long non-coding RNA (ACOM_LNC011103)". The record is from RNAcentral. Lineage: Eukaryota; Viridiplantae; Streptophyta; Magnoliopsida; Poales; Bromeliaceae.